AAAAGAGGAGUCAGAUCCGUUGGUACCUCCUCCUAAAGCCACCAAGAGCGAGAGAAUCAGCUGGUUCAGGAGAAAGCUACCUGAGCUGGAGAUACUGAAGUCAACAACCAAGAGCAAGAGGUUCCACGGAAGAGUCUUGGAGUUGUACAACAAGAACUGCUCAGCUCAGUUCUUCAUGGUUUGGCUAUCUCCCGCAAAUUCCUUUGGACCAAGAGAGAUGUUAGCUGUUGACACCCUCUUCACCACCAACCCUGGUGCUUGCUUGGUGAUUUUAUCCAACUCCUUAGACUCACCAAGAGGAUCCACCAUCCUUAAGCCCUUGCUUGACCAAGGCUUCAACCUCGUUGCCGUGACACUAGACAUCCCGUUCCUCGUCAAGAACACUCCAGCAGAAGCGUGGCUUAAGAAGCUAAAGAGCGGUAAGAUGGAUCCUGGCUCCAUCCCUCUCUCCAUGAACCCCUCUGAUCUAACAAGACUUGCGGUGCUCUACAAGUACGGAGGAAUCUAUCUAGACACAGACAUCAUCUUCCUCAACUCCAUGACUGGACUGAGAAACGCGAUAGGAGCACAGAGUUUGCAUCCUAGAACCAAGAGAUGGACAAGACUAAACAACGCGGUGAUGGUCUUUGACCUUCACCACCCUCUUAUGCGCGAGUUCUUGCAAGAGUACUCCACAACUUUCGACGGUAACAGAUGGGGAUACAACAGUCCUUACCUAGUCUCUAGAGUUAUCAAUAGGUUAGGAGGACACAAGCCUGAGUACAAUCUAACGAUUUUCCACCGGAUGCUUUCUAUCCAGUGAACUGGCUUAAGAUCCCAAGUCUUUUCAAGAAACCUGCAACGGCAAGAGAAGCAAAGUGGGUGGAGAAGACGGUACAAGAGAUGAAGGAAGGGAGUUACAUGAUCCAUCUGUGGAAUAAAGUCACAAGGAAGAUGAAGAUUGAAGAAGGAAGCGUCAUGCAUAAACUCAUCUCCACACACUGCACAGUCUGUAAAACCUGAGUAUUGGGUCGUGACAUAAUCUUUGUGUCUGCUUGGAUCUUUUAAGUGUGAUGAGCUUUGUGCCUUGCGCCAUGCGGACGUCUUAAAAAGACAUUAGGUUUGUAUACAACAUGGAAGAGAGAUUUAACAUAAUAAACAUGAAAAUAGCACGAAGCUUUAGAGAGAGAUUAACAUAAUAAACAUGCAUACAUCAUAGUGAGAGUUAAUUACUUUAUUAAGAAACGACCACUAAAGCUACGAUAUGCAAUAUUUCUUUGUUAAAAGUUAAAACACAGAACAUAAAAUAAAGAUACAAACAAUUUGAAUCAUCUGUAGUUAGACUAAAACUAUAGUUGAAAGACAGCAAAAUAAUAAUUUUCUAUAGACUUUCAAUAAAUAAAUAAGUUUAUGAUUUUUAAAAUAAAUAUUCAAAUAAAUUGAGAAAUUGUUUUAAUAAAAAACAUGAAAAUUAAUUUAAUUUCAGUUGAGAAUAAGUUAAACAUUUUAAAUAUAUUUAUAUUAUUUGUUUAUUUGUUAACCGCCCGUAGAGUGGGUCUAUCCUAGAUUUUCAUAUUCAUUCACCAGCAUUGAUUCAAAAAAUGACUUUUAUGGUGAAUAUAUAAACUAAACAACUAAAAACUGCAUAUUCAGAGAACCCUCUUGAGGUCGUUUCUCGACAUGGCCUUAAGACACAUGUUACAUGUUCUGGUUCCUUUUAGUUGUAACGUGCAAGUUCUUGUUAAUUUCUCACCGAACAAACAAAAUGUUUUUUUUUCGUUGUACAUAACAUAAGGCGUAGCAUAUUCAACAAACUCUGUGGGGAAGAACGGAGUCAUCUUCUUGAUAAUCAAUUUUUUUUUUCUUGAUAAUCUUCUUGAUAAUCAUAACAUAUUCUACGCUUUGUAAUUAAUGAAAAUCUCUGUUAACUUUGCUGCAACACUUUUCUUUAACAUUAAUCUAUUAGUCUCAUUAAUUAAAGACAUGGCAAAAAAUAUCAACUUAAUCAUUAAAGAGUUUUGCAACAUAAUAAAUAAUUAAGAAUCAUUAAAGAUUUAAAGAAUUCAAGUGGCUUGGUGUAUAAUAAUAUGGCAUUGAAAACCUGAAUGAAUAGCAUUUGUGAAAAAUGAAAAAUGCAGUUAUAAGUUUAGAACUAUGACACUUAUGAACAUGUAUUAGUGUUGAUGAACAAUUUUAUAAAAGUCUAAUCAUUGCAACAGUAUAAAAUUAUAUAAUCUAUAUUAAUUUAAUUUUUAGAUUUGUCUUAGUAUAUAGAUUAAUUUUUAGUCUUAGUACUGAAAAUCUUCAACAUGAACAAAAAUAUAUGGUAGUUCUACAAGUUAGUGGUAUGCACAUCUUCUGCAUAUUCCACAAUUAGUCGAAUCAAAUGUUAUCUAAACUCCCACGUAUGAUUGACCUAACAACAUUUAUAAGAAUAUUUAUAUUUCAUAUUGUAGCUAGAGCCUAUAGAAAAUGGAAUAUAUGUAUUUGAUCUUACACCAAAAAUAAUAAUAUAUAUAUAUAUAUAUGUGUUGAUCAUGCCCAUAUAUGUGUUGCGUGAUAGAUAAAGGCUAGAAACAGACAAGUUUUAACCAACUUCAAACAAAAUAUAGUAUACAAAUAUAUAUGAAGAAAAAGGAAACAUCUAUUUUCCUUUUCUCUAUUAUUGUUAGAGGGACGUAGGGUUUUUCCUAUUUGAGAAAAAUUGUAGUCGCUGAAAAGUAAAAUUUCCAAAAUCCCUUUAAACAUGUCUCAGGAGAUAAAACUUACUUGUGUCCUUAGGCAGUUAUAACUCCUACUUCUACCAGGACCUUUGGUUUGUCGGUGUGGUCCUAAACCAGAACAACGUGUUCAAUGUGAUUAAUUUUCAAAGGCGGCAAUUACAGCUGGAAUCUUACUCCGUUUACUAAUUAACAUACAGCUUUCUACAUAAACUAAAUUAACCACCUAAGAUACAUCCGCAACGUUAUAAACUCUUGUUCUGUCUGACGUAAAGCUAACAAUAGUUUUCUUCAAAAAGAUUAAAGAUGAGAUCAAAGAAGUUAGCGAUGUUGGUGAUCUUGGCUUUAUUGCAUCUCCUCUACAUGGAAGCUCCAACAUCUACUCUCUCUGAUGACGAUAAACCACCGUUCAAACAAAACUUGCCUCUUCCUAGAAUAAAACAACCGUUCAAACAAAACGUGCCUCUUCCUAGAACCAGGAGUACUACUAGUAGGAGCAUUGUCUCGGUUGUGGUCCUUGAUCAACAAGAAAAAGAGGAGUCAGAUCCGUUGGUACCUCCUCCUAAAGCCACCAAGAGCGAGAGAAUCAGCUGGUUCAGGAGAAAGCUACCUGAGCUGGAGAUACUGAAGUCAACAACCAAGAGCAAGAGGUUCCACGGAAGAGUCUUGGAGUUGUACAACAAGAACUGCUCAGCUCAGUUCUUCAUGGUUUGGCUAUCUCCCGAAAAGUCCUUUGGACCAAGAGAGAUGCUAGCU
RNAcentral lists this long non-coding RNA (3455 nucleotides) under Brassica napus (rape). RNAcentral describes it as "long non-coding RNA (BNAP_LNC018063)". The record is from RNAcentral. Lineage: Eukaryota; Viridiplantae; Streptophyta; Magnoliopsida; Brassicales; Brassicaceae.